GACAUAGGUGGCAAACGUUAUCUGGAAUUACUGGGCGUAAAGAGUGCGUAGGUGGUUCAAUAAGUUACUGGUGGGAAAUCGGGGCUCAACCUCGUGGAAGUCAGUAAUACUAUUAAACUAGAGGGUCGGAGAGGUUAACGGAAUUCUAUGUGUAGCGGUAAAAUGCUUAAAUAUAUAGAGGAACACCAAACGGCGAAGGCAGUUAACUAUUCGAUUCCUGACGUUGAGGCACGAAAGCGUGGGGAGCAAGACGG
Molecule: ribosomal RNA, 254 nt
Filed under: uncultured bacterium
Lineage: Bacteria
Description: partial 16S ribosomal RNA
Rfam family: Bacterial small subunit ribosomal RNA
Source: RNAcentral